ACUGAUAUUUUGAUAGAAGUUCCUCGAAAUGGGGUAAUAUGUGUCACAAAUAUACAAUUACAGGGUGAAAAGUUGAAUUCACACUUUUUUUGACAAAGAUUAAAUAUGCCAUUACAUACGAAAUUAUUAAAUGUUCUUUAUACGACAUGGUGCGUGAUGUUCUGCACCGAUGGUAAAUGUCCAUCUUAUUUAUUUUUCGCAAUCUCUUUUGCUCUUGGUUGGUAGAUACAAGCUUUUUUUGUCAGCAAACCUUGAUGCUUGAUGUGCAACCUGAGAAUUUUUGCCAACAGAGGAGGAGAAAACUGAACAUCGAGCAUAACAUGCUAGACAACCCAUGUAUAAAACUGGAUAUAUACCUGCAGAGCAAUAAAUAAAGGCUGGUUCAUCCAAUUAUGCAACUCUCACAGAAAUCUUAAUUUUGCAUGAUUCUGACAAUAAAUUUUGACUUCAUCACUGUACAAAUUAUAAGAAAAUACCGAAAGCUUAAUCGUCCAAAAACACUAUUAGACAAAAUAAGUGAGAAUAGAAACGGAGAAAGAAAGAGAAAACGUUUAUAAUGGCAUACCUUCAAAAUAUAUGCUUUUUUCAACCUCUAUGGUUCACAUGUUCUAAAUUCUCCUUGCCGCAUAUAUAAAUACAUAUGAUCGCAGUAGAAACUAGUAUAAUCUCCCAGAUCUAUACUGGUAAUAUAUAAGCUUGCAUCCAUCCAUUAGAGGCAAAUACUAGACUUCUUCCCAGGUCGUUUGAAAUCAACAACAUACUUUUUAGAAAUGUAAGGACUAGACUAGACUGUUCAGUAACCAAACUAAUUCAUGCACUUUAAUUAGAAAAUUCAUCAUCUUAUAAACUGAGUAUCUAAGAUGAAAAAAAAAAUUGCCUUGAAGACUGAAAGUACACACUUGGCAAGAAGAUAAAUUUACCUUCUUGUUCAUCCAAGAUAGAACGUCAGCAGAUCUCAUGUGUUCACAGCUCUAGAUCCAACCACUUCCAUCCAACUCCCUUGGCUACAUGCAAAGAAGGACAAAACCCAAAUGAGAUAGCGUUGAUUUAAACAGCCAUAUAUGUUUAUAACUGGAGGCCCUGAAUUUAGUUUUUGUUACAAUGUCUGGAAGUGAAGCCACAUUAUUAUCAUGUAAAAAACAAGAAUUGUAAGGCAGAUUAGAUGUUCAUAGAAAACACAUAUCUCCACAAGUGUUGACGAGAGCACCUAUACUAGUAGUGACCAAUGGACGGAACAGAGUAUGUACAUAUUAGGAUAUCUUAGUGAUAG
RNAcentral lists this long non-coding RNA (1270 nucleotides) under Hordeum vulgare. RNAcentral's name for it is "long non-coding RNA (HVUL_LNC014498)". Lineage: Eukaryota; Viridiplantae; Streptophyta; Magnoliopsida; Poales; Poaceae. The record is from RNAcentral.